AUCUAAAUAGUUUAAGAGUAAAAUAUUGGUUUGUGGUGCCGAUGAUAUAGUUGUAUUUUAGAUU
RNAcentral lists this transfer RNA (64 nucleotides) under Araujotermes parvellus. RNAcentral's name for it is "tRNA-His". RNAcentral also lists the same sequence under 1 other name. The record is from RNAcentral. Lineage: Eukaryota; Metazoa; Arthropoda; Insecta; Blattodea; Termitidae.